Phoenix dactylifera (date palm) is the source of this 110-nucleotide non-coding RNA. NCBI's taxonomy places the organism in Eukaryota, Viridiplantae, Streptophyta, Magnoliopsida, Arecales, Arecaceae. The record is from RefSeq and is a predicted model, not a curated record.
AACUCGUGAUGAGGACAAGAGAGAAGCAACUCUUUAAAUCUCUCCCAGCAUUCAUAAAAUAUUUCAUGGUCUUUUUGUUGGAAAUUACUAAUGUGCCUUUUCAAAAAGUU